RNAcentral lists this long non-coding RNA (4973 nucleotides) under Sus scrofa (pig). Its description in RNAcentral is "lncRNA (ENSSSCG00000052648.1)". Lineage: Eukaryota; Metazoa; Chordata; Mammalia; Artiodactyla; Suidae. The record is from RNAcentral.
UCUGGUACCAUAGUUAGAUAAUGCUUUGGAGCCCAUGCUCUUCUCUCUCCUCCAACAUGACCAGACUCAAUCGUUGCCUCUUUAAUUGCUUCUGCAAGACAAUGUGACAGGAAAGCUAUCCCAGCACACAGUGAUUGGUGUCUUAACAUCAGGAAUACACCAGAGGGAGUAGUGGGAUAAGUUAUGGAUUACAAGAAGCUCCAGAGUCACCAUCCCACUGGAAAUUCCUCCCUUCUUUGUUCCUUCACAACUUGAAUGCAAGACUAAUAAGAGAGGAACAGUGAGGAAAGACCUCAAAGAAAAUGUGUAGAAGGCAGAGAAAAAGAGUGUCCCUGGGGGAGCAGAAUUGUUCUUGACAAAGCAACAAAGAAGGGUGUUCCAACACAAUUACAGUGCUCUGGGCUCUCUCCCCCAAAGUGACAGCAUCUUCCAGGGCUUGGGCUUUGUUCCCAACAUGUAAUACCAGUUACUAGCCAACUGAGUUGAUUCCAUUAGAGGAAUACAUCAUCAAAGGCAAAGCUGACAUGACAUAGCUCCAAGGUGCUCACUAGUGAUCAAGGAACAAUGAUAAAAGGAGAGAGGAAAGAGAGGAGGAACUGAGACUAAGGAAGGAAGAAGAGUUGGAAAAACAUAAGACAAUUAAGAAAAAAAAGGGAGAGAUGCGCAAACGGUAGGUAGAUGAAUAAAACAUGGGGACAGACUUAAAGAAGGGUAGAUUAACGGAGGCAUUAAAAAGGAAGAGAAAAAUAUUGAGGAGGAAAAGAAAAAGCAAAGAUGGAGAAAUAUCUUGGCUUUAUCUAAAGUGAGAAGAUUAUUACAAUUAAUUUUCUCUCUUCACUUCUUUCUGUUCAGUAAAACCUUGGGCAUAAGCAUACACCAUCACCAAUUAUCAAUACACAUUGAAGUAUUAAUUUACUUUUCAAGAAUUUUAAAAAGACAAUUUCUACUCAGAGAAUUAUAUGAUAUACUUUUAUAUUUAAAUGUAUCAUUUAAUUUUAGGUAAAAUCUUACUUUCUGUUGAAAUUCUAAAAAGUUUACAUUGAUGUAUGACUGACUAAGUAUAUGUUUUUAAAAAUAAAUGAUUUUAAAGGUGAAAAUAACUUUUUAAACUUCACUAUUUCUGUCAUUUACAAACAUAGACUAAAAGUGCUUUUGACAUUUGAAAGUUGUCAGAUUGUCUUAUCCUGUUUUUUAGAUAGAUGAAUGCUACUUAGUUCAUAACUACUGGAGUCUACAUUUAGUAAGUAUUUAUAGCAUUGUACUAAACACUUUUUCUUUCUCAAACAAAAACAAGUUUUAAGUUCGAAUAGGUUUCAAAGUCUGAUAAUAUUCAAUAAGAAUAUUGUGGCAGAUUACUUUAUUUUUCCCAAUUCUUCACCCGUUUCUCUAUCCUAGCCUUCUGCUAUUUCAUUACUGUAUAUAGUUCCUCCAACUAUAGGCAGAAUAUAUUCCCUGUUCUUGCUAAUGCUGGGCUUUACUGGGUUACUUUCUCUAGUCAAUGGGAUAUAAGCAGAAGUGCCCAUUUCAAACCUAUGUCUUGGAGUCAUCAUAUGUUUCUGCUGAUCCUUCUUGAACUUCUGUCACGGCAAGUGCAUUGAUUCAAGGAAGAUGAUAGUCAUGUGAAGUGAAUCUGGAACAAUCUUAAUCUUAGAGUGCAAUCCACCUAAAAGCACAACCUAUAUCUACCAAUGCAGCUGAUCCACAGAUCAAGGAAGUAAGAAUAAAUAUGACAUUGAGUUUAGAGAUGGUUUGUUUUAGAGCUCUAUUGUGUUAAUAGCUUACAGAUAUAAAUAAUUACUAACAAUUGCUGUAAUAUAAACCUUAAGUCCAAAAUUCUUAGGUCUACCAAUUUCUGAUCUAGACCCUUUUUAAUUUUACUCUUACUUAAUCUUAAAGUUGACUGCUCAAUUCUGUCCAAAUGUUUCAGCAGUAUGAACCAACUGCAUUUAUAUUCCUCUUGUGAACAAUAAUAACAGAUUAUUGUCAUUUAAUAAUUUUUAAAACCAACAUAUUAAUUAAUUUAUUGAUGGAAGAGUGGGCACACAAAAAGAUCACAUCCAGGUUUGAUGUCUUUAACAGUUCUAAUAUAUUACAAGAAAACAAAGUGAUGAUUUCAAGUUAGAGCAGACCAAAGAGAUGAGAUCGAAAAGAACAGCCUCUCUAAACAAGUUUUUCAAAUAAAAUCUAUCAAGUAAGAUACAACACUUGCAAAAUCCAAUGCUUUAUUGAAUACUAUCAUUUUCACUGUACAGGAACAAAACAAAUAAAUUAUAUUGUUUUUUCAACCCCUUACUACCUGUUCUGUUCAAGCAGAAAGAAGGUUUUCCAGCCUCUGAAUACAACAAUUAUUGCCUAUUGAAUCCAAUCCCAUUGGUUGGUGACUCUCAAUUCUUAAGUUUUCAGUUCUUUUUCUCUGAAAUUUAGAGAUGGGGUCCAAGGGCAAGAGGGAGAAAUGAAAUGUGAAAUUGAGGAUUUUAGAGGUCAGCAUUCCUAAGGGAUGUGGCCAACUGUGUGUGUAUAUAGGUAAAAUUCUGCCUCUUCUUUCCCCAUUUGGCUGUGCUUCAGGCAUGUGUAAAUUCCUGGCCAGGGACCGAACCAGCACCAUCGCAGUGACCCAAGCUGCUGCAGUUACAAUGCCAGAUCCUUAACCCACUGAGAAACAAGAGAAAUCCUUUUUUAUUAAUUUAUUUUUUAUUUUUGGCCAAGUUUUGCCCGUUCUAAAAAUCUUUCAACAAAACUGAUAGAAAAUAGACACAUAAUUUCAUAAACUUUUGAUGCUGAGUCAAUCAGAAGAAAUAAAAUGAAAAUUUUUCCCUGCAAUAUUUUAUGAUUUCAGUGACCUAACUUUAUGACAAAAUUAGUCAUAGGAAGAUAUAUAAAGUUAAAUAUAAAUUGAACACCUGGGUGGAAAAAUGUUUAUAAAUGGCAUCACUGCCUUAACUCCAACAAUGUGAGCAGAACUACUAUAAUCAUGUUCAGUGGUAAUAUGGAACCAUAUGUGGUGAAAUAAAACACAGGACAAAUAUACAAAUACAUCUGCUGCUACAGAUUUUCAGCCUUUUAACACUCUUAGAUGUCUGUUUGGGGUCUGACUCUGACUGUAUCCUACUGUUUUAUGUAUUUUUCUGUAAUUUUGUGAGAUUAACUGAGCCAACUUGCAGAUCUCUGCUAAAUGUUAAUUCUUUUCUCAACUUUCAGAAUGUUGGGACUAGAGCACUCUUUUUCUGAAUGAGUAACCUUCAAAAUCAGACUGCUUUGGUGUCAUCUUAGGUAUUUAAUUAAAUAACUGUUUUAAAGUUCUUUAUUCGUCAAUCCAAUGUAUGGGUGCCCUCAUGGAAAAUUCCUAUUUCCUUCUUUUUCUUUUUUCUUAUUUUUAUUUAUUUAUUUAUGUAGUUAUUUUACUAUGUGUGCAUUACACUUUCAUGUUUAUUUAUAUGUCUUAUAAUCUUUUAAUUGACCACAGAUAUUUUAGAUAAUAUAUUGUGGAAACUUUGGAUACAGAUCCUACCACCCGAUAGCUUAUUGUUUUUAUUGUUUGUUUGUGAAUUUACCUAUAGUAACUUUGCUGAGCUAGUUAAGUGAAUACUAUCUCCCCUGUACUAUGCAUUCUUUGAUGCUUUUCCUCAGAAAGCACAACCUGGGUAGAUGAACAGUGACCUUAACCACCAGGGAUGGCUGUCACUUUAGCCAGGCUCUUUCAGAGUAGCUUUCUUUGAUUUUCCCACUAUGCUUCUGACUGGUCUUCUAUUCAUGAAAUCAAUCUGGUAGUCUCCACUAAUUGGUUUAUGAUCACUAUAUUGUGUUUGAAAAUGUCCUGGGUAUCUAUAAAUUGCUCCAUAGUCUGAUCUAAUUAAAGUUAAACCCUAUUUGCAGAUGCAGGUUGUUGCUAGUCUCUGAAGUUUACUCUGACUGGAGAAGCAUUCAUCUUACCUCUUUCCCUGGUUCUCUUAUUAAACUUCUAGCUGACCUACCAUUAUUCUUGUAGCUAAUAGUAUCAUGGAGCUACCAACCUCUUCUUAAUUACCCAACAACAAAAUGUUGCUUGUUUUUAACAUAACACUUCAAAAUAAACUUUCCCAUGUUCUGUUCCAAAUAAAGGCAUCCCCCUUUUCGACCAAGCUAUAAAAUUCUCUGAUUUUUAAAGUCUGCUUCUUCCACUAGGUAGAGCCUCUGAGCCACUGCAUUGGGGCUGAGGGCAGAGACAGCAGCCUCCUUCUCCUUGUGCAAUAGUAUUUCUCUAAGGACAGUUUGCAGGAUGAGGAUGGUAGCAUUGCUCUUUUAGGCUUGGUUCUUCUAGCAUAAAACCUAUGUGAACAAACUGGGUGGAAACAACUGGAGCCAAAUAUUCUCAAUCAGUUCUUCAGUUGCAACUAAAAUAGAUGUUCUGCUCUAUGAAUGGGAGCUGGAUGACAGAAGAAAGCUCCAGUCCCCUCUUUGUCUAUGCCUGCUUGGAACAAAGCUACUGAGACAUACAGCUGGGAGGUUUGAGAAAUAACUGUGACACAUCCUUCUUGGCAUGAAAUCGUAGUCAUACCUGGGAUCUGGAGGGAGAGUAAGUCUUAUUUUCUUUACCACAUUGACCCAGACCAGAAAUUCUAUUAUACUUAGCUAGAGUGGAGAGGGGAAGAAUGAGAGCGUUAUGGUUCAAAUGCUACAGAGGCUGUUCCUAAUUUAAGUUAGUAGAUUUUCCUGAAAAACAAAACAAAACAAAACAAACUUUAUCCAUUUACUGUAUGCCCUAAGGGCAGUUUCAGACUUUACAUUUUUCAAAAAUAAUUUUUACCAUUUAAAAGGUUUCAAGAGUUCCCACUGUGGCUUAGUGGGUUAAGAGUACAACUGCAGUGGCUCAGGUGGCUGCAGAGGUUCAGGUUUGAUCCUUGGCCCAGCACAGUGGGUUAAGAUUCCGGUAUUGCCACAGCUGUGGCUUGGAUUCAGUCCCCGUCCCAGGAACUUCCAUAUACUGCAGGUGCAAC